GACAUAAAAAAUCCCAAAAAAAUUUGUGCUCUUGCUGAGCACUGUAGAAAAACCAAACAUGUAAUGGAUUAUAACUCGACUAAGAUAUUGGAGUUCGAAAGGAAUUUAAACAAGCGAUCGUUCUUAGAAAUGUUUCAUAUUAAAGGAACCAAAAAUGUGAUGAAUUCUAGAAAGGACAUUGAAAAUAUCAGUAAUAUAUAUUCCUUUUUAUUUACAUACAGACAUAAUAAUGUUGUCCGAGAUGUGUCAGUUGAUUCUGGUUGAUAUACAAAGAAAAAGAAUUAUUCAUGUAUUGUAUCAUGUGUUCUGUGAUGUAACCUCAAUUGUAUUGUUUCCGCCAACGUUGCAUAUGUGCAAUUUUCGUACUUCUUUCUGAAUUUUAAGAAAUUUGAUUUUAGAAUAUAUUGACUUUUAGUGCCUAACAAUUCUAUUCAUAUGGCUUUUCACCUGUUGUGAUAUAUGUUGCCUUCUGCUGACUACUUGUUGACUUGUUUUGAUGCUAGAAAUAGUUUUAACCUCGACUAUUCAAGUCCUGAAGAAGGCUCAGACAUGAGCCGAAACGUCGACGAUGAAUAAAUGAGUUUCACAUAA
Molecule: long non-coding RNA, 591 nt
Organism: Coccinella septempunctata (seven-spotted ladybird)
Lineage: Eukaryota; Metazoa; Arthropoda; Insecta; Coleoptera; Coccinellidae
Exons: 2
Source: RefSeq, a predicted model, not a curated record